AUUGACUUGGUAACGCAGCUAACGCGUGAAGUAGACCGCCUGGGGAGUACGGUCGCAAGAUUAAAACUCAAAGGAAUUGACGGGGAGCCGCACAAGCGGUGGAUGAUGUGGAUUAAUUCGAUGCAACGCGAAAAACCUUACCUACCCUUGACAUGGCUGGAAUCCCCGAGAGAUUGGGGAGUGCUCGAAAGAGAACCAGUACACAGGUGCUGCAUGGCUGUCGUCAGCUCGUGUCGUGAGAUGUUGGGUUAAGUCCCGCAACGAGCGCAACCCUUGUCAUUAGUUGCUACGAAAGGGCACUCUAAUGAGACUGCCGGUGACAAACCGGAGGAAGGUGGGGAUGACGUCAAGUCCUCAUGGCCCUUAUGGGUAGGGCUUCACACGUCAUACAAUGGUACAUACAGAGCGCCGCCAACCCGCGAGGGGGAGCUAAUCGCAGAAAGUGUAUCGUAGUCCGGAUUGUAGUCUGCAACUCGACUGCAUGAAGUUGGAAUCGCUAGUAAUCGCGGAUCAGCAUGUCGCGGUGAAUACGUUCCCGGGUCUUGUACACACCGCCCGUCACACCAUGGGAGCGGGUUUUACCAGAAGUAGGUAGCUUAACCGCAAGGAGGGCGCUUACCACGGUAGGAUUCGUGACUGGGGUGAAGUCGUAAAACAAGGUAGCCGUAUCGGAAGGUGCGGCUGGAUCACCUCCUUUCU
This 699-nucleotide ribosomal RNA is filed under the name uncultured bacterium. RNAcentral describes it as "bacterial SSU rRNA". It matches the Rfam family "Bacterial small subunit ribosomal RNA", at positions 834 to 1533 of the family's 1533-position model. The record is from RNAcentral.